Oncorhynchus mykiss (rainbow trout) is the source of this 3234-nucleotide long non-coding RNA. RefSeq lists it as uncharacterized. The record is from RefSeq and is a predicted model, not a curated record. NCBI's taxonomy places the organism in Eukaryota, Metazoa, Chordata, Actinopteri, Salmoniformes, Salmonidae.
UAGAUGGCAGCAGGUUCUGAAAUUAACACCCGCCAAGCGCCAAAUGUGGAUAGAUUUUUCAUUUGGCGAGUAAAUCUCAGAAUGUUAUCCGCCACACUGGUGGGUAAAUGUUUGUACCAAAAUAGUAAUGCAAUCAAAUCUGGCAUGAUGGCUCAAGGGAAUUAUUCAUGUUUGCCAGCCUACCACAGACCGUCUCUAGUGCUUCUAGUUUCACGGCACUGUUUACCACACGGUACAUCAGCUACUCGACAUCGCUCACUUGCCACGGGUCUGCUGCUAGCUACUGUUCAAUAAAUAGCUAUUAUGUGGCGAUAUUUACCUGGAGUGAGCCAACCUUUUGAAACGAAAACCCACUGACGAAAAGGAGGACGAAUCACAGGAAGUUUUGUGAGAAAUGGUUAAAAGGUUUGGAGAUAAAGGUGUUUCAAGAGGCUGGCUACAGUAAGAUGCGGAGACUGUGGUGAUGAAUUGUUCUGUGUGCCACCAGUAUGCUGAAGAUAAAAGCAGAAACAACUCAUUUGUUAUCAGAAAUAAAAUGAUGAAGCUGGAGAACAUUUGUGACCAUGAACACAGCAAUGUCACAUUGCCUGCGUGCCGAGUGUCCCAGGCUCAAUCAGAGCCUCUCCUCUUGACACCCUCUGUGACGGCAAUAAUGGCAAUGUCAGAGCAGACCAGCACGAAGAUGAAGAUACUGUUUAGGACUGUACAUGCCAUUGGCAAGAAGAUGAGACCACAUUCUGACUUUGAGUGGAUGUGCGAGUAAGUGAAUGUUGUUACUCUUGUAGCUAGACUAGUACUUUUGUAGCUAGAUUUUUCAAGUCUAUUUAUCAGAUGUGGUCCAGUAUUGUAGGUUAUUUCUCAGUUAUUGAUAAGCUUUGGUUCACCUCAAAAUAGUGUAUAAAUAACCAAAUUAUAGGCCUACUGAUGAUGAAAUGGAUCUCCAUGCUUUCCUAUGGCUCUGUGACAUUCUAUUUGAAUGUUUGUCUACAGAUGCUGUUUACAUUUUGAAGCAUUGUGACACAAUUGACUUUACCAGCCUUAUAGUGUUGACCCUUAAGUAAACAAAGGCUAGAAGGCUAAUUUAGCACAAUAAACUGACAGCUAUAUUGGAUAACAUGAUUGUAUAUUGAAUUAUUAUUGAAUUAAUUUGAUGUCUUUAUUUUUGUGGUUUGGAUGACAAAAAAGGAAUCGUUGUGGGCUCAACUAAUAGAAAUGAGAAGCAGGCCAAAGAGUUUAUGCACCAUAUUGCAGAGGCCUUGAAAAAUAAGGGUCAACACUGCAAAUAUUGACUCUUUGCAUCAACUUCAUGUAAUUGUCAAUAAAAGCCUGUGACACUUAUGACAUGCUUGUAAUUAUACUUCAGUAUUUCAUAGUAACAUCUGACAAAAAUGUCUAAAGACACUGAAGCAGCACACUUUGUGGACAUUUAAUAUUUGUGUCAUUCUCAAAACUUUUUGCCACGACUGUACACCUUCUACCACACCAGUCCACUGAACAGGGCAAACCCGGUUGAACAGCUUCCAGGCUCUUGGGCACACACCGCUGGUGCCCACCAGAAUUGGCAGGACCCGAUGGGGAAGGACACCUAUUGCGUGCACUGGACCUCUUCCUGCGACGGUACCAGGGGCUUGCUUGUCCAGCGUCUGGAACAGAUUCAAUCUGCUGAUGCCCAAAAUGUCUGAGGUGUCCAGCAGGCCAAGGCCAGGAAAUACUACUGUACUGCGAGGGAGGCUGUUGUUAUCCACUUCUGUGGCUUCCUGCAUGACACUCUAACACAUCCGAGCAACCUGUUCGCCUGUCUGCAGAGGUCCACCAUCACCAUAGCAACCUGUUCGCCUGUCUGCAGAGGUCCACCAUCACCAUAGCAACCUGUCCGCCUGUCUGCAGAGGUCCACCAUCACCAUAGCAACCCGUUCGCCUGUCUGCAGAGGUUGGAGUCAUUAAUUAAAACUUCUUAGGGAUAGCUCCCUUUUUUUCAAUUUUCGACUAAAUGACAUACCCAAAUCUAACUGCCUGUAGCAGGGAUAUGCAUAUUCUUGGUACCAUUUGAAAGGAAACACUUUGAACUUUGUGGAAAUGUGAAUUGAAUGUAGGAGAAUAUAACACAAUAGAUCUGUUAGAAGAAAAUGCAAAGAAAAAAACAACCUGUUUUUUUCUACCACCAUCUUUGAAAUGCAAGAGAAAGGUCCCAGUUUUAGCCAUCACUCUGGUUGUAAUUCCGAUGGUGUCCACAAGAUGGCAGCGGUGUGUGCGCACAGUUUCAGACGGAUAACUUGAAGUAUGAGCGUUCUACAUGACAUUUAGUGUGAAGUCACCCAGGUACAUUUGUGCAAAUCUAGAAGGAGACGUUUGCAUUCAUAAUACAUUUUUCUGCAAGAAUAUCGUCAAGUCUGUAUACUUUAACUUUGAGAUAGCUUUUCCAUUAUUAGUAGCCAUAUUAUAAAUUCAACAUUUGCAAAACAACCAGUUUUCAUAACUCUGAAUAUUCUUAUAGUUUUAGUCCAAAAGGAAAAGGCAUGCUGUCACAAAAGGUUAGCACCUACAUUUUGUGACAGACAGACACAGGGUUUCCGGAUACUCCCGUAAUCUAGCUAGCUUUGUUUGACCCCUUUUGGUGCUUAUUUGACAAAGAUACAAUUGUAAAUGCUGGUGUUCCUAGCUCCAACAGUGCAGUAAUAUCUAACAAUACACCCGUCUAAAAGUAAAAUAAAGGAAUUAUUGACAUGUACACACCUGUACAAUAUCUCUCUCACACACACACACUUGGGUAAUGCAAGUUAUUGUGCUGUUAGGGGAAUAACCUGUAGUGUAAGUGUAACAAUCUGCUGCUGUAUUUUUUUGUGUUAUCUGUGAUGGUUUUGUUUGUCUUGUUUUAGUUUAUUAAUCAUCAGCAGGAUACAGGAAGAAAGAUGUAGGCAAGAUAACUGAUGACUAACACGUAAAACAUAAGCAUGCAAUACAUACAUUAUUUUUAGAACAUGGAAAGAGUUCUGUCAUCGUUAUAACCUAACCAAAAGCAGAUAUCAGCGUUAUUGGGUGUAAACAAGCAAAGAACUCAGAAUAUGAAUUUAAUGGUGGCAGACGAACUAAGGGGGAGUAACUUUAUUUACAUAUGUGAUGUACACAAAUACUAUGUAUGUAUAAAAGCAGAGCCAGUGCUAAGAAGGGGCGGCUGUUCCGCGGACCAGCACGGCUCUUAAUAACUUGUAUUAAAGUCUACAUUGAAUUCACAAA